CAGCCGCCACGGUAAUACAGAGGGUGCGAGCGUUAAUCGGAUUUACUGGGCGUAAAGCGUGCGUAGGCGGCUUCUUAAGUCGGAUGUGAAAUCCCUGAGCUUAACUUAGGAAUUGCAUUCGAUACUGGGAAGCUAGAGUAUGGGAGAGGAUGGUAGAAUUCCAGGUGUAGCGGUGAAAUGCGUAGAGAUCUGGAGGAAUACCGAUGGCGAAGGCAGCCAUCUGGCCUAAUACUGACGCUGAGGUACGAAAGCAUGGGGAGCAAACAGGAUUAGAUACCCCCGUAGUCCCUGUCUCUUAUAC
RNAcentral lists this ribosomal RNA (301 nucleotides) under uncultured bacterium. RNAcentral describes it as "partial 16S ribosomal RNA". It matches the Rfam family "Bacterial small subunit ribosomal RNA", at positions 509 to 807 of the family's 1533-position model. The record is from RNAcentral.